Molecule: long non-coding RNA, 532 nt
Filed under: Anser brachyrhynchus (Pink-footed goose)
Lineage: Eukaryota; Metazoa; Chordata; Aves; Anseriformes; Anatidae
Description: lncRNA (ENSABRG00000002921.1)
Source: RNAcentral
AUUUGCAUGGUGCUUUUGACUGGAGCAUCGGGGAGGUCCAGCCUUGCUGUGCAGUCAGAGAUAGCGCAGUGAUGUGUGUCCUCUCCUCCCUCACCCCACGUCUGGCGGUUGCCAAAGCUAUGUGAAAAGAAAUGGAUAUACAGAAGAACACUUUCAUUUGUUGUUAUGUCAAGUGAAGAUGUAACAUGAGCAACAUAAGGAUGUUUACUGAUGCGGGGGCCACCAGGCACAGAGUGCUGGAAUUUUGCUUAAAGGAAGCAAGCCAGAUGGGAAGAGAAAAGAAAUCCCAAGCUGUCAAGUGUCACAUCGCUACAGACCAGAUGUUCUACUUUUCCCUGGUAAUGGUUAACAUGGCGCUACCUCAUUAUACACCUCUCUUUGGAAAUUAUGCCAGUGCUACUUCAGAAUCAUCCAAAAGCCAUGCUGAAUCAAUGAGACAGCUGGCGCCCUCCCUGGGGAUGGAGUACUUUACCUUUUGGAUUCAGGCAGACACUGUGAACCGAGAUCCAGGAUGCUGUGAAUGAUUUUUCAU